Molecule: ribosomal RNA, 468 nt
Filed under: uncultured bacterium
Lineage: Bacteria
Description: partial 16S ribosomal RNA
Rfam family: Bacterial small subunit ribosomal RNA
Source: RNAcentral
GACGAACGCUGGCGGCGUGCUUAACACAUGCAAGUCGAACGGAAAGGCCCUGCUUUUGUGGGGUGCUCGAGUGGCGAACGGGUGAGUAACACGUGAGUAACCUGCCCUUGACUUUGGGAUAACUUCAGGAAACUGGGGCUAAUACCGGAUAGGAGCUCCUGCUGCAUGGUGGGGGUUGGAAAGUUUCGGCGGUUGGGGAUGGACUCGCGGCUUAUCAGCUUGUUGGUGGGGUAGUGGCUUACCAAGGCUUUGACGGGUAGCCGGCCUGAGAGGGUGACCGGCCACAUUGGGACUGAGAUACGGCCCAGACUCCUACGUGAGGCAGCAGUGGGGAAUAUUGCACAAUGGGCGGAAGCCUGAUGCAGCAACGCCGCGUGCGGGAUGACGGCCCUCGGGUUGUAAACCGCUUUCGCCUGUGACGAAGCGUGAGUGACGGUAAUGGGUAAAGAAGCACCGGCUAACUACGUG